GACGAACGCUGGCGGCGUGCUUAACACAUGCGAGUCGAACGGAAAGGCCCUGCUUUUGUGGGGUGCUCGAGUGGCGAACGGGUGAGUAACACGUGAGUAACCUGCCCUUGACUUUGGGAUAACUUCAGGAAACUGGGGCUAAUACCGGAUAGGAGCUCCUGUUGCAUGGUGGGGGUUGGAAAGUUUCGGCGGUUGGGGAUGGACUCGCGGCUUAUCAGCUUGUUGGUGGGGUAGUGGCUUACCAAGGCUUUGACGGGUAGCCGGCCUGAGAGGGUGACCGGCCACAUUGGGACUGAGAUACGGCCCAGACUCCUACGGGAGGCAGCAGUGGGGAAUAUUGCCCAAUGGGCGGAAGCCUGAUGCAGCAACGCCGCGUGCGGGAUGACGGCCUUCGGGUUGUAAACCGCUUUCGCCUGUGACGAAGCGUGAGUGACGGUAAUGGGUAAAGAAGCACCGGCUAACUACGUG
RNAcentral lists this ribosomal RNA (468 nucleotides) under uncultured bacterium. RNAcentral's name for it is "partial 16S ribosomal RNA". It matches the Rfam family "Bacterial small subunit ribosomal RNA", at positions 28 to 507 of the family's 1533-position model. The record is from RNAcentral.